Molecule: ribosomal RNA, 478 nt
Filed under: uncultured bacterium
Lineage: Bacteria
Description: partial 16S ribosomal RNA
Rfam family: Bacterial small subunit ribosomal RNA (bases 20-306)
Source: RNAcentral
AGCGAACGCUGGCGGCAGGCUUAACACAUGCAAGUCGAGCGGGCAUCCUUGUGGUGUCAGCGGCAGACGGGUGAGUAACGCGUGGGAACGUGCCCUUCGGUUCGGAAUAACUCAGGGAAACUUGAGCUAAUACCGGAUACGUGCGAGAGCAGAAAGGUUUAUCUGCCGAAGGAUCGGCCCGCGUCUGAUUAGCUAGUUGGUGAGGUUACGGCUCACCAAGGCGACGAUCAGUAGCUGGUCUGAGAGGAUGAUCAGCCACACUGGGACUGAGACACGGCCCAAACGAGGAGGGGAGGAAGCGGGGGGGGAUGAUGGCAGAGGGGGGGAGCGCGGAACGAGCGAGGGGGGGAGGGUGAUGCCGGCCGGGGGGUUGACAGGCUCUUUCAUCCGGAAAAAGGUGGGCGAGGGAGGAAAAAGAGGCCCGGGAAAGCGUCGUGCCGGGAGCCGAGGUAAGAAAAAGAAGAGAACGAAGCUGACC